Molecule: ribosomal RNA, 253 nt
Filed under: uncultured bacterium
Lineage: Bacteria
Description: partial 16S ribosomal RNA
Rfam family: Bacterial small subunit ribosomal RNA
Source: RNAcentral
UACGUAGGAUGCAAGCGUUGUCCGGAAUUAUUGGGCGUAAGGCGAACGUAGGCGGUUUCUUAAGAUUGGUCUUAAAGACCGGGGCUCAACCUCGGGAAUGGAUCGAUAACUGGGAGACUGGAGGACGUCAGAGGAAAGUGGAAUUCCGAGUGUAGCGGUGAAAUUCGUAGAUAUUCGGAAGAACACCAGUGGCGAAGGCGGCUCACUGGACCGGUAUUGACGCUGAGGUGCGAAAGCGUGGGGAGCAAACAGG